AUGGCACGCCGGACCAACCACACCGCCUCGCCCCCCAUGAACGCCACGUCUCCGCCUCCGCCGAGGCCGCUGCCCCACGCCACGGGCGACGCCUGGGGCCCCUACUCCAGCUCCCGGGCAUUCUUCUCCAACGUGGCCACCAUCCUCAUCAUCCUCGCCUGCGUCUCCCUCCUCGCCUUCUCCCUCCACGCCGCCGCUCGCUUCCUCCUCCGCCGCCUCGCCCGCCGCCGCGCCGCGCGCGCGCGCGCGCGGGCGCGGGCGCAGGCGCAGGGGCAGCCACAGCCGCCGAAGCCUCCGUCCGACGCCGCGGCCGCCGAAUUCUCUGUGGAGGCCGGGGCAGGGGCGGGCGUCCAGUUGGCCGGCGGGUGGGGCGACGCGGAGUGCGCCAUCUGCCUGUCGGAGCUGGCGGACGGCGAGCGCGUCCGCGUGCUCCCGGCGUGCGGCCACGGCUUCCACGGGGCCUGCGUGGACGGGUGGCUCGCGGCGCGCGCGUCCUGCCCCACCUGCCGCGCGCCGUCCCGGCUGUCGCGGGCCGGAGAGCCCUAG
Molecule: ribosomal RNA, 546 nt
Filed under: Triticum aestivum (bread wheat)
Lineage: Eukaryota; Viridiplantae; Streptophyta; Magnoliopsida; Poales; Poaceae
Description: partial small subunit ribosomal RNA
Source: RNAcentral